RNAcentral lists this long non-coding RNA (219 nucleotides) under Ictidomys tridecemlineatus (thirteen-lined ground squirrel). Its description in RNAcentral is "lncRNA (ENSSTOG00000031566.1)". The record is from RNAcentral. Lineage: Eukaryota; Metazoa; Chordata; Mammalia; Rodentia; Sciuridae.
GUUGGACUUCUUAUUCUGAGAACAGAGCUCUGAGCUUUAGAAAUUUGGAAACUGUUCCUCAGUGCCCAUGUCUGCAUCUAUGUGGGUUGGCUGUGUCUCAAGGAAGGUGUUGGCACCAGAGAAGGAUAGAGGAACCAAUCUUUAUCUUCCUCCAAAGGUCAAGACAUCAACUGGAUGGCCUGGAUAGGGCUUCUGGAGCUUGGAACCAGGUCCCAGGGA